GCACUGAUAGUUCAGUGGUAGAAUACCUGCCUUCCAUUCCCUGAGAGUUUGGGUUUGUAAGCAUGUGGCACGGGUUCGAUUCCCGUUCAGUGCA
This is a non-coding RNA of Violaceomyces palustris, 94 nucleotides long. The record is from the annotation of a GenBank genome assembly. Lineage: Eukaryota; Fungi; Basidiomycota; Ustilaginomycetes; Violaceomycetales; Violaceomycetaceae.